ACUGAAAAACACGGCAGUUAAGGACCCAGAACAUGACUUGCAUAUUCUUAACCAGGGAUGAUUUUGCCCCCCAGGGGACAUGUGUCCGUGUCUUCAGCCAUUUUUGAUUGUCACAACUUGGGCUCCUGGCACCUAGUGGGAAGCUAGGGAUGCUGCUAAACAUCCUACAAUGCACAGGACAGGCUCCAACAGGAAAGAAUGAUCCGGCUAAAAUGUCAUAAUGCCGAGCCCCACCAGCUCGGUGAUCGGAGGGGCCCGCACCAUGAACUCCUCAUACUGACUGAGGAACAGCCGGAAGCGAGCCAGAUACAUGCAAAUGAACAUGCAGAUGCCAGCCUCUUCCAACGUUUCGCCCUGGCCAGAAGACUUUGCCAAUUUUAUUGAAGAUGCUGCCUGCCAGUUUCCAGGAGAACCUGAAGAGUUUCUCAGUGCCAAUCACUGUGAGCCUGGUAGACAGCAAAACAGUUUGAUGAGUACUCAGCAUUCUGUCCUUCACGUGUGUGACUUGUUAAUCUUCUAAGCCCAGGGGACAGCGGUGUUAUUCAGUUGACAGAAACUGAGAUUAAAAAGAAGCCACAUGACCACCCCAGGUCACUCAGCUAGGUAGGUAGCAGAGGCGGAAUUUGAACCCAGCUCCAUCCAAGAUAAUCCAUAAGGCCCCUGGGAUGAGCCACUUACUGCAUCCAAGCAGGUUUUGCUCUCUGUUUCUGUAACCUUGCAGGACAGAAGCUGCAGAGGGUGGGUAGGUAACAUAUCAAUUAAAGUGACAUCUCUUCCAGGCCUGCUGGUCUCAGAGGACCUGCCUGCUCAAGAGCGUGCACCCAUUGGGAUCCCUUGGUCGGUUCAAGUUAGUGGCAGAAGCCCUUUGGCAGCAGGCAUGGGGGCCACAGUAGAGCCCGUUGGGAUGUCCUGAGGCCAGCCUGCCUCUGCCCAAGGCCUGCAAGUGUGUGUUUUGAACCUCAACAGUUCUGUCCCAUGUGCCGAAGAAGUGACUGUUCUCAGCUGCUUCUUCCAUGCACUUCUGCUCCAAAGUCCAAUCCUGUCUGCACUGCUGCUUUCAUGAAGAAAUGUCAGCUGAAUGCAGCAGCCUGCUUAGUGACCAAGUUGAUUUUCCUUCUGGCACAAGCUCAGCAUCUCCUCACUGACCGCCCUUUGAGUAGCAACGCCAGAAACGACCUGGAGCGUGAACCAGGCCAAGCGUGGUAAGAACCAGGCCUUCAGGGCCCUGGUAGGGUUCUCCGCCGUGUGCUCAGACCCAAGGAUGCCAGGGAGACCAGUUACCUGUACGAUAACGUAGCAUGUGACUUGUGACUCAGCACAUGCUUCCAGAGUCUGUGUACGAUUUGCCUUUUUAUAUGAAUAAGAGCAGAUUUGAGGCUGUUUCUGUAACACGGAAAUUCUCGCUCCCAUCUAGAUGUUCUUUCCCGAGAGGAAGAGAAAGGAAUUUAGGCUAGAAGUGGAGACUGCACUCAAAUUACAGCAUGUGUACGUGCGUGUACACGCAUCAACCAAAGGGCAGUGGGAAUCGGCCACGUUCUGUGGAAGUAGUUGGAGAAUGGGCUGUCCUGCUGUAAAGGUUUAUUUAAAGGUCUCACCCAAAAGGAUUCCACAUACAGACACAGAAAAAGUUCAGAAGCCUCCAGGUUGGUGCCACUUCUUGAUAUCACCACCCCUGUGCUCCUCAGGAAGAGUUAAGAGCCCUAAUCCCUUAAUAGCACUCAGGCUCUGCAAGUGGCCAGACUGUGCCAGGGACAGAUGUCAGUAUAAUUCCUCUUGGCAUCAUCUCUCAGCUAAAUAUCAGGACCCCAAAUCUCUCAUUAGUUCAUUCAUUCCUUCAUUCAGUUGUUUGUACUAAAGUAUCCUUAGGCCUCCGCUGGUGGCCAAAGGUAGUUAUCUAAUUUAUUUUUGAAUAGAGAAUAUAUUUACAUAAUUCGGAAUCAAAAAGUAUUCAGUGAGGGUCUUCUUCCCCUCCCCCCACUCAUCCCCCAGCUGCUCUGAGAGGUAAGGGGGGCUCGCAAUCUCUCAUGUAUCCUCUAAUGUUUUCCUUUUAUUUUCUUUUUAUUUUUUAAACAAACAAUACUUUGCAGGAUUAAAAACCACCAUUAUAAACUUAUGAUGCAACCAAAGUUGAGUGUUCCAAACACUCAAAAGCUUGAGUGUUCAAAGUUGAGUAGUUCACCCUGCUGGAUUGGAAGGGGCAGGGCAGGGCGAGGCAGGUGAUGGGCCAGAGGCUGUUGAUUUGGGCCAGCUGAGAGAUGGUGAGGCUGGGAAGGGCGGGCAUGGAGGCAGGAUCUGGGGAAAAGGUGAGGAGUAGGAGGAGGCGAGAGAAUCAAGGGUAAGGCUAGACUUCCAGCUCAGGGAUGGGGACAUGGUGGGGCCACUCCAGAGGUGCGCAUAGGAGCGGAGAGCCCCAGGUGUGAACAGGACAAGAAAGAGGGGCUGUGGGUCGUCCCAGGGGCAGCGUCCCUCAGGCAGGACAGACUCCGGGCUGGAGUCUGCACAGCGCCUCUCACGAUUCCCAGGGGCUGGGCAGCCCCUUCACACUGGCUAUAGAGUGGUAGGGACCUCUGGGGCUCUGCAGGCCUCGGCGAUAGGUUUGUCAGAUAACGUAUAGCACGACCAGAUAAAGUCGAAUUUCAGAUAAACAACCAGUCACUUUUCGUAGACAUAUACCCCAGCCAGGGGGCUGUCCUAUGCGCUAUAGGAUGUUUAGCAGCAUCCCUGGCCUCUACCCAUUAGAUGCCAGUAACACACGCGCACACACACACACACAGUCGUGACAGUCCAAAAUAUCUGCAGACAUUGCCAGUGUCCCUGCUUUGCUCUCCCCUCUGUGCUGAUAACAUUCGCACUGCCUGAUCGAUGGCGCCACCAUCAGGUUCUGCCGGCCCUGCUUCCACCCGCACCACGUACCAGCUGAGCGGCGGCCUUGGGCAAGUAACUUAACCUCCCAGCCCAGCUUCUCCUCAUCUACAGAGUGAGGGUAAUAGGUAACAAUUGCUUCAACCACAUAAAGAGGCGUGACUAUUAAAUGAGAUCAUUCACGUAAGGUACACAAUAAGCACUCAAUAAGUGUCAGCUGGUAUAAUCAGGAUUUUUAUUAUUUUGAUGUCACUCAUGUGUGUCUGUUUCCCCACUUGACGCUAAGCCCCUGGGGAACUGGAAGCGUUUCAUUCACUGUUACGUCCCCAGCGCCCAGCAGAGGGCUUGGCAGGGAGCAGAAGGUCAGUGAUGUCGAGUGCACUGCUCUGCCAUCACCUGCUCAGCCUCGACCGACCGACCGACACUCUCUCAGUCCCCAAAGCUCCCCAUCCAACCGGCUUCCCUCCCAGCCUCUGCUCCCAGCUGGGCAGCCUCUGGUGCCUCCUAGCAGCCCCACCCUUUUCUCUCCAAGCCCCUCCCUCAAGGGCACACUCAGACUCAGUGCAGCCAUCCAUAAGCAGCUGCCUAGCAUUGCUGCAGGGUUUUCUGCCUCUGAGGGGCCAUGUGCAAGCCCACCAGGGUCCUGUCCACUAGGAGCCAGGCUUUACAGACACAUGUGAGUUGAAUUCGCCAUGAGACCCCCUUCCCAGAGUCUUCGGGCUUAUCCUUGAGGAAGUCACACCAAAGCUUGGAAGUGCAUUUUGCAAACCUACACAUGUGAUAAAAUGGCAUAGAAAUACAGGCAUACACACACACUAUACUAAUGUCAAUUUCCUGGUUUUGCUAUUGAAUGACACUUAUCUAAAUGUCACUAUUGGGGGAAACCCGGUGAAGGGUAUGCCAGACCUCUCUGUCCUAUUUUUGCAACAUCCUGUGAAUUUAUAAUUAUUUCAAAAAUAAAACGUUGUGUUUUUUUUACAAAAGUCUAUUUUGUACUGCAGGUCUCAGUUUGCCCUCUAAAUGAUUUUAGCUUUGAAUUUUUAUAAAAGUUUGAGCCAAACUGAUGACCUAUGACAGGGAGAAAGAUCUCAAAUGCUCCUUAAGUAAAUUUUUUAAAUUAAAAAAAAAGUCAUAGUUGAGCAUCCACAGACUAACACCCCUCGGGGUUCAGGUGGGAACAGGCAAAGAGAAGGUCAGAAACAGCCCCGAGAAUCAUGGUGACACGGAACUACUGGGAAAGAGAACGUUCGAGAAUCCUGCCCAGGCUGGGCAUUCUUGGCUCUGUUUCCACCACCACACAGGACUCAAACGAAGGUGGUUGCAUUCUCCUGGAUGACACUGGGGAGAGGGUGGGGGAGUGGGCAGAGCUGGCCUGUGCUCCCAGUGGACCAGCUGGGACUCCGCCCCCAUAGCACAAAGCGGACGUUAGAAGGAGGGUUUGAAGUUGAGACACAAUAGAGUUUAGUAACUGGCACAGCCUGUUUCCUCCCACUCAGGGGAGCAUCCUAAUUGUGAGUGACAUGCAAGGGAGUCCCUAAGCCCUUUGAUUUCAGGAGCUAGUCCUUCCCAAGCUUCAGUGCUUAAACCAUGGUGGCUCUGCCCACCACCUGCUCCCCUCUCCACCUUCCUGUGACCCUUCACUGGCAGUACCCGGAGGGUAUAACCGACAGUCCCCGCGACAUCACCCAGGACAGGGAGGAUCUUGGGUUCUCAGUGGGCUGGGGAGAGGGUCAGAAGUAUGCUAUAGGAGGAAUGGGACAUUCUGUAGGCCAGAAGUGAGUCUUGAGAGGGAAGUUCAUGCUGGUGUAUGUAGGUAUGUACGGCCUGAGAUACUUUAGCCAAGAAAUAACAAUACCAGGAGUGUCACUGCCCCCUCCAUCCUCCCCACUCCUCCUCCCAGAUCCACUGGGUCAGAGAGAGUGAGGCCCUUGCCCACCCCCAGCUGGAGCCAGCAGACCCUGAGACAAACCCGGCAAAAGCUGGGUGCCCAGGGAAAGCCAGUGAUACUCAGCUGACACCUGAGGUUGUGGACUAGGGGACUAAAUUACUCUAUAGUGAGGGUCUCCUGAGCGUCAAGCCUUGGGAAGGGCACAGGCACCCAGCAAGAGGAGAUGACAAGAGGAUGUGGCAGAAGUGGACAGUUAGAGAUCCAGGAGGGUCCUGGGCAGCAAGAGCUUGUCCUUUGUGCAAUCCAGAGAAUAGGUGGUGGGCCAGGGCCACCUCACAACACACACAAACACACACACACACACACACAGAGUUUCGUCUGCUUUGCAUAACUGCAUCAACCUUUCAGUUAAAAACAACACAAACAAACAAACAACAACGAAAACUGCUAACCCUUUCCUUGCAGCUGAACGCACGUUCCCUCCAGAGAAAAUAAGCAGAGCUAACACUUGGUGAGCACCCGGGAGUCAGGCUCAGGCCCUAAAUCGGGAUCUUCCUAUCUCAUUUAAUCCUCACGCUGGAUGAAAUGAGAGUCACGCUGGCACAGAACAAUGAAAUUGCCCACUUGGCACCAGCAGCCACCCCCACGCCCUCCAG
This is a long non-coding RNA of Hipposideros armiger (great roundleaf bat), 5406 nucleotides long. RefSeq lists it as uncharacterized. Lineage: Eukaryota; Metazoa; Chordata; Mammalia; Chiroptera; Hipposideridae. The transcript is spliced from 3 exons. The record is from RefSeq and is a predicted model, not a curated record.